GGGCGAUUAGCUCAGUUGGUAGAGCAAUCCGUUUACACCGGAAAGGUCACAGGUUCGAGUCCUGUAUCGCCCACUA
RNAcentral lists this transfer RNA (76 nucleotides) under Candidatus Kaiserbacteria bacterium RIFCSPHIGHO2_01_FULL_56_24. RNAcentral's name for it is "tRNA-Val". It matches the Rfam family "tRNA". Rfam says of the family: Transfer RNA (tRNA) molecules are approximately 80 nucleotides in length. The record is from RNAcentral. Lineage: Bacteria; Candidatus Kaiseribacteriota.